CCUACAGGAGGCAGCAGUGAGGAAUAUUGGUCAAUGGGCGGAAGCCUGAACCAGCCAAGUAGCGUGCAGGAUGACGGCCCUACGGGUUGUAAACUGCUUUUAUACGGGAAUAACGAGACUUACGUGUAGGGCUUUGCAUGUACCGUAUGAAUAAAGGCCGGCUAACGCCGUGCCGGCAGCCGCGGUAAUAUGGAAGGUCCGGUCGUUAUCCGGAUUUAUUGGGUUUAAAGGGAGCGUCGGCCGGAAGUUAAGUGUGCUGUGAAAUGGCCGGGCUCAACCCGGGCCUUGCAGUGCGGACUGGGGGGCUUGAGUCCGCUAGAGGGAGGCGGAAUGCGUGGUGUAGCGGUGAAAUGCUUAGAUAUGACGAAGAACACCGAUUGCGAAGGCAGCUUGCUG
Molecule: ribosomal RNA, 396 nt
Filed under: uncultured bacterium
Lineage: Bacteria
Description: partial 16S ribosomal RNA
Rfam family: Bacterial small subunit ribosomal RNA
Source: RNAcentral